GAAUCUUGCACAAUGGGGGAAACCCUGAUGCAGCGACGCCGCGUGAGUGAUGAAGCCCUUCGGGGUGUAAAGCUCUUUCGACAGGAACGAUUAUGACGGUACCUGGAGAAGAAGCUGCGGCUAACUACGUGCCGGCAGCCGCGGUAAUACGUAGGCAGCAAGCGGUGUUCGGAGUUACUGGGCGUAAAGAGUGUGUAGGCGGUUUGCCAAGUUUGGUGUGAAAUCUCCCGGCUUAACUGGGAGGGUGCGCCGAAUACUGGCAGGCUAGAGUAUGGGAGAGGGAAGCGGAAUUCCUGGUGUAGCGGUGAAAUGCGUAGAUAUCAGGAGGAACGCCGGUGGUGUAGACGGCUUCCUGGACCAUAACUGACGCUGAGACACGAAAGCGUGGGUAGCAAACAGG
Molecule: ribosomal RNA, 400 nt
Filed under: uncultured bacterium
Lineage: Bacteria
Description: bacterial SSU rRNA
Rfam family: Bacterial small subunit ribosomal RNA
Source: RNAcentral